AGUCUUUGUAGCUAGUGUGUCUUUUAUCCAACUCUAUGGUCUCUCACUACUUCAAAGUUGUGUCAACCACAGACCUAAAACCUCACAGUCAGUGUCUGUUUCCUUAGACUGCCAGAAAGUUCAUCACAAGACCUCUCUCCCCUUCACUCUACUGCAGGGUGGGAGAUGCAACAAUGGCCUUGAGAACAGCAGGAAGUGUGUUGGUGGUCUUUCUCUGGUCUGUAGCAGCUGUACUGGGGCAGAAUGGCUGGAGUGUGACUAACACCACAGUAUUUGUACCUUGAAGGGGUCAUCAGUGGAACUGUCCUGCUCUUACACAUAUCCCAGUUGGUAUAAAGUCACAACAACCUUCUGGUUCACCAAAAUUGUUGCUGUGGAGAAUUAUGUGAGUCUGAGUGAUGACCC
Molecule: long non-coding RNA, 405 nt
Organism: Coregonus clupeaformis (lake whitefish)
Lineage: Eukaryota; Metazoa; Chordata; Actinopteri; Salmoniformes; Salmonidae
Exons: 3
Source: RefSeq, a predicted model, not a curated record